RNAcentral lists this ribosomal RNA (429 nucleotides) under bacterium. RNAcentral's name for it is "partial 16S ribosomal RNA". It matches the Rfam family "Bacterial small subunit ribosomal RNA", at positions 355 to 776 of the family's 1533-position model. The record is from RNAcentral.
UAGGGAAUCUUCCACAAUGGACGCAAGUCUGAUGGAGCAACGCCGCGUGAGUGAAGAAGGUUUUCGGAUCGUAAAGCUCUGUUGUUGGUGAAGAAGGAUAGAGGUAGUAACUGGCCUUUAUUUGACGGUAAUCAACCAGAAAGUCACGGCUAACUACGUGCCAGCAGCCGCGGUAAUACGUAGGUGGCAAGCGUUGUCCGGAUUUAUUGGGCGUAAAGCGAGCGCAGGCGGAAGAAUAAGUCUGAUGUGAAAGCCCUCGGCUUAACCGAGGAACUGCAUCGGAAACUGUUUUUCUUGAGUGCAGAAGAGGAGAGUGGAAUUCCAUGUGUAGCGGUGGAAUGCGUAGGUAUAUGGAAGAACACCAGUGGCGAAGGCGACUCUCUGGUCUGCAACUGACGCUGAGGCUCGAAAGCAUGGGUAGCGAACAGG